This 206-nucleotide unclassified non-coding RNA is filed under the name soil metagenome. RNAcentral describes it as "partial internal transcribed spacer 1". The record is from RNAcentral.
CCGAGUUAGGGUCCUCAGGGCCCGACCUCCCAACCCAUUGUUUACUGAUACUCAGCUGUUGCUUCGGCAGGGCCCUGGUCUUGACUGCCGAGGACCGCCGUAGACACGCCCCCAGAGAGUCCGCCUGCCCGCCCGGCCCCAACUCAAAAAACUCUUAAUUGAAACCGUGUCGUCUGUCUAGUAAUGUCAUAUAAUCAAAUAAUGCA